UCCAAAUCUCCAGCCCAACCUCUAAACAUAGAUCAGAAGCACUAGCAAUUCCUUGCAAGUUAAGUCUCUCUAGCUUGAUUUUCUUGUCAAAAGGUGGUCUAUGUGUUUUUGUGAACUGUCAUUGUUCCAAGACUUUGUGCUAAACUGGUAUGUCUGAGACCUGAAUGAUUUUAAGUCUGACUCUCGGCUCCAAUUAUCCCUAAUGUGUAUAGACAUGCAUCCACCAGGGCUGGUUAGAGCUCAGCUUUCCCAAACAAUGAAACACUUGUAAGCAAAUGCUGUAUCCAAUAGUGGUGACAGAUGCUUUCUUUUGUUGCUUGCUCCAAAAAUGUGCUCAUCUAUAACUUGGAAGAAGAAUUUAAGGUGUUAAAAAAGGUGGCACUUGUACUGGAGGUUGUGUGUAUGACGUUUAUGUUAGAAAUAUUUCCAAAGAAAAGGUUUGAAUAAAAUCAUGGAAGGUGCUGAAGGAGUGGCUUCAUGGUAGAACCCUUGCCUAGCAAGUCCAAGGCCAGAAUUCAAUCUCCAGUAAAAAGGCUCUGGAAACCUUAAAAGCACAUUUAGUUGCAAAACCAAGAAAAGAUUUGCAAAGUACUGACUUACAUAUUCACAUCUAAGUUCUUGAUUUACAGACAGCUUGAUCUGCAACGUGGCUGCUCCUCUGUGGCUCCUAUAUUCAACUUUAUGUGCCGGCCUAACACAUUACUUAUGGAUAGUUAGUUUAGCUUGUCAGAAUUCUCUGUCUAGACUAUUGCUUCCACCUCUCUUCUUAGUUCACAUCUCCUCCUAGUGAAGUCCUGUCUGCUGCCUGCUCAAGAUUCCCUCCAAUACUCCCAGCAGACUUGGUUAAAUCACCCUGCUUUAGUGUCUUUCUGCUAGACUGCAUGCACAUGUAUGCACAUACUCCUGGGGCUUGAACUCAGGGCCUGAGCAC
Molecule: long non-coding RNA, 931 nt
Organism: Perognathus longimembris pacificus (Pacific pocket mouse)
Lineage: Eukaryota; Metazoa; Chordata; Mammalia; Rodentia; Heteromyidae
Exons: 4
Source: RefSeq, a predicted model, not a curated record